Long non-coding RNA from Macadamia integrifolia, 1287 nucleotides. RefSeq lists it as uncharacterized. The transcript has 3 exons. NCBI's taxonomy places the organism in Eukaryota, Viridiplantae, Streptophyta, Magnoliopsida, Proteales, Proteaceae. The record is from RefSeq and is a predicted model, not a curated record.
GACACGAUUUGACUUCCUCGCAUUCGAAUAAUAGCAGAGGUGAAGGAACCACCCCUCCCCUGUUCCCUCUCAGCAUCUCGUUGGCCGAUGCUCAGUCUCUCGAGCUCUCACCUACAGGAGUUGGAGUUGGAUUUGGUGGCGUUACCAUUCACUCUUGGCCGCGAAGUCGUAUUUUCUUGGUUUCAGGUAACAUCAUUUUUUUGCAACGACAGGCAUCAAGUUCUUCGGCCUGACUAGUCCUAGAGGCUUAUAUUGACCCCACAACAGCAUGGGCCGGGUCAUAUUGGGGUUGAAUGAGAACCAUUCAAUUUUCAUUAAAAGCAGUGAAGAGCACUAAACACCCCGUAUGAGUGGCCCCAUGGAGGUAAUAAACAGAAGGAGAAGAAACAAGGCCAAGAGAUCACCUCAAUUGGGGAUCAAAGCCAAACCUCCCCCAUCAAAGACAUGCCCUAGGAGUGGGAGAAAGAACAACAUAAAGCAAAAAAGAUACAGAAGCCAAGAAGGAAAUACAGCAGGCUCCCAACAGCAAAGCACAACUAAUACAAAAUCCAAGAGGCCUGAACUCCUCAUUUCUGGACCAAGAAACGGUUUCUUCCAGAUCUCUUACCCUUGAAUGUUAAUCCAAGAGGUUUUGAACUUGCUAGAUAUGCAAGCCUAAAAUACGUAUGGAAUAGUAAAGCUUUCUACUACUAAAAUACAGUUGUGCUACCAUUAUCUUGUAAAGAUUUCUACUACCAUUAUCUUGUCAGAAAUUAGUGGAUUUUAAGAAUCAAACAAUUUGGUGAAUAGUGUAAAUCAGAUAAAAGAUUGUUCAUAAUCAUACCCAUUCGAGAAGAUAAAUCUUUUCUGCAUUCAAGCUUGUGUCAGUAUUAGGCCUUCCACUGAUGAUCUCAAGAGCUACUACUCCAAAUCCAAAAACAUCUGCUUUCUCAGUCAGGUGCCCACGCAUGGCAUACUCUGGUGCAAGAUAGCCACUUCAACAAAACAAAAUUUUAGAUCCCAUAAAUUCAGAAUCUGUUAAGGUAUCCAAGAAAAGUACUGAAAAUCAAGUGCUGGAGAACAUUACAUUGUUCCUGCAACUCGAGUGCUUAUGUGGGUCUUCUUGUCAUCAUAAAGUUUGGCCAAACCAAAAUCUGAAAUUUUGGGGUCGAGUUCAGCAUCAAGUAGAAUGUUACUAGCCUUGACAUCUCUAUGUACAAUUCUAGGCUUCGACUCCUCAUGAAGAUAGGCUAGACCACGUGCUGUCCCCAAACAGAUAUCAUAGCGCUUUGGCCAAUUAAGAUGUAA